UGUCCGUCUGUCCCCGGCCGUCUGUCCCCAUCCGUGUCCGUCUGUCUGUCCCUGUCUGUCCCCAUCCCUGUCCGUCUGUCCCCAUCCAUGUCCGUCUGUCCCCAUCCGUGUCCGUCUGUCUGUCCCUGUCCGUCUGUCCCCAUCCCUGUCCGUCUGUCCCUGUCCCUGUCUGUCUGUCCCCGUCCGUGUCCGUCGGUCUGUCCCCAUCCGUGUCCGUCCCCACGUCUCAGCCCCACGUCUCAGCCCCACGUCUCAGCCCCACAUCGCAGCCCUCAGCCCCACAUCUCAGCCCCACAUCUCAGCCCCACAUCUCAGCCCCACAUCGCAGCCC
RNAcentral lists this long non-coding RNA (331 nucleotides) under Numida meleagris (helmeted guineafowl). RNAcentral's name for it is "lncRNA (ENSNMEG00000004128.1)". Lineage: Eukaryota; Metazoa; Chordata; Aves; Galliformes; Numididae. The record is from RNAcentral.